Molecule: ribosomal RNA, 460 nt
Filed under: uncultured bacterium
Lineage: Bacteria
Description: partial 16S ribosomal RNA
Rfam family: Bacterial small subunit ribosomal RNA
Source: RNAcentral
CCUACGGGUGGCAGCAGUGAGGAAUAUUGGUCAAUGGACGAGAGUCUGAACCAGCCAAGUAGCGUGAAGGAUGACUGCCCUAUGGGUUGUAAACUUCUUUUAUAUGGGAAUAAAACGUUCCACGUGUGGGAUUUUGUAUGUACCAUAUGAAUAAGGAUCGGCUAAAUCCGUGCCAGCAGCCGCGGUAAUACGGAGGAUCCGAGCGUUAUCCGGAUUUAUUGGGUUUAAAGGGAGCGUAGGUGGAUUGUUAAGGCAGUUGUGAAAGUUUGCGGCUCAACCGUAAAAUUGCAGUUGAAACUGGCAGUCUUGAGUACAGUAGAGGUGGGCGGAAUUCGUGGUGUAGCGGUGAAAUGCUUAGAUAUCACGAAGAACUCCGAUUGCGAAGGCAGUUCACUGGACUGCAACUGACACUGAGGCUCGAAAGUGUGGGUAUCAAACAGGAUUAGAUACCCUUGUAGUC